UACGUAGGGUGCGAGCGUUAAUCGGAAUACUGGGCGUAAAGCGUGCGCAGGCGGUUCGUUGUGUCGGCGGUGAAAGCCCCGGGCUCAACCUGGGAAUGGCCGUUGAAACUGGCGAACUGGAGUGUGGCAGAGGGGGGUGGAAUUCCGCGUGUAGCAGUGAAAUGCGUAGAGAUGCGGAGGAACACCGAUGGCGAAGGCAGCCCCCCUGGGCUGACACUGACGCUCAGGCACGAAAGCGUGGGGAGCAAACAGG
RNAcentral lists this ribosomal RNA (253 nucleotides) under uncultured bacterium. Its description in RNAcentral is "partial 16S ribosomal RNA". It matches the Rfam family "Bacterial small subunit ribosomal RNA", at positions 524 to 776 of the family's 1533-position model. The record is from RNAcentral.